GCGGCACGCCUAACACAUGCAAGUCGAACGAAGUAGCAAUACUUAGUGGCAGACGGGUGAGUAACAUGUGGGUAUCUGCCCUAUGGCCUGGAAUAACACGAGGAAACUUGUGCUAAUACCGGAUAAGUCUUUACGGAGAAAGCUUUAUGCACCAUUGGAUGAGCCCGCACUUGAUUAGUUUGUUGGUAGGGUAAUGGCCUACCAAGACUUAGAUCAAUAGCUGAUUUGAGAGGAUGAUCAGCCACAUUGGGACUGAGACACGGCCCAAACUCCUACGGGAGGCAGCAGUGGGGAAUCUUGCACAAUGGAGGAAACUCUGAUGCAGCGAUGCCGCGUGAGUGAAGAAGGCCCUUGGGUUGUAAAGCUCUUUCGUCGGGGAAGAAAAUGACUGUACCCGAAUAAGAAGGUCCGGCUAACUUCGUGCCAGCAGCCGCGGUAAUACGAAGGGACCUAGCGUAGUUCGGAAUUACUGGGCUUAAAGAGUUCGUAGGUGGUUGAAAAAGUUGGUGGUGAAAUCCCAGAGCUUAACUCUGGAACUGCCAUCAAAACUUUUCAGCUAGAGUUUGAUAGAGGAAAGCAGAAUUUCUAGUGUAGAGGUGAAAUUCGUAGAUAUUAGAAAGAAUACCAAUUGCGAAGGCAGCUUUCUGGAUCAUUACUGACACUGAGGAACGAAAGCAUGGGUAGCGAAGAGGAUUAGAUACCCUCGUAGUCCAUGCCGUAAACGAUGUGUGUUAGACGUUGGAAAUUUAUUUUCAGUGUCGCAGCGAAAGCGAUAAACACACCGCCUGGGGAGUACGACCGCA
Molecule: ribosomal RNA, 803 nt
Filed under: uncultured Pelagibacteraceae bacterium
Lineage: Bacteria; Pseudomonadati; Pseudomonadota; Alphaproteobacteria; Candidatus Pelagibacterales; Candidatus Pelagibacteraceae
Description: bacterial SSU rRNA
Rfam family: Bacterial small subunit ribosomal RNA
Source: RNAcentral